GAUUGUCCACGGAAGCAUGGUUGGUUGAUUUAUCAGACAAAUAUGCUCCCUUACUUCGCCAAAUCAUUUCUGAUUCAGCAGCAAUAAGCAUAUAAGUCAAGUCAAUGAGGGUUGCGUCAAGUUUCAUCAUAUGAUACUCUCUAAUGAACUUAUCAUAUGAUUCAGGGAGUGACUGAAGAACCCAGUCCACAGCCAACUUAUUUGAGAUAGACGCACCCAACAUGAUCAACCUAUCAAUGUGUGAUUUCAUCCCUAGGAUGUGAGCACACACGGGUUUGCCAUCUUGAUGUUCCAUUUCCAAUAGGGAUUCGGUGAUCUUGAACCUUUCAAGUCUUCGAUCAUUAGGGCUAGGGAGAACAACGGGAGGAAGAGGAGGAAGUGAAAUUAAGCUAGUCCACAUUGAUCUCUCACUUUGAAUCAAGCUUUCACUUUCAUUAGGAACACUUUUUCCUUGGGAUUCGGGAAUACCACGGUUAGACAUCUACAAAACGGGAGAAAAUUCAAGUUAAGUUGAUUAGAGUCCUUAAUAAAACACCCAAAUGAGUUAUUAAGGCUAGGAUCCAACACAAUAUUCUACAACCUAGAAAAGGGAUGCCGUAAUCUAGUUGCAAAAUAUUUGAAGGUAGGUAAAUGACGAUUUACCAAUUUCCACCAUGAAAAACGAAAGGAAGUUUAAGUUUUAAAUGAAUUGAAACUCCUAGAUCUUUUGAGAUUCAUUGAACUUUUCAAUGGCAUGUUUAAUCUCGAUUAUGCCCUACUAUUUGUGACUGGGAUGCCGAGGAUCACAAACAAGGUGUGAAUAACCAUACGAAUCACGUGGUGCACCCAAUGCUACAAUCACCUAAUCAAUGUGCCGGUUAGCCACACACGCUCCAUUGAUCUAUGACAAACAUCGAGUCACCCUUCGCUACCAAUGUCAUCCCCAAAUUAGUGUGCCGGUUAACCACACACGCUCCACUAACGUUUGACAAGGGUACGAAGUGUAAUUCCAUGGGUUAGCAUACAAUUUCACAUUUUGCCUAAAGUAACUAUGAUUUGGGAAUUUGAAAAAGCAUUUAGUUACUUUGUACUUCAUUAUACUUAUAAUGGAAGGUUUCUGUCCUAUCCUACCCGUUCGGCUAACGACCCUCCACUAGUCAAGAGUGCGGUGGGUAAGAGUGGAUACCCAUUCAAUCGCCAUUUUAUAGGCAAUUUCCUUAAACACCCCUUAUAGACCAGCUUCGUGAAUGAGGCCUACUAACGGUAAGACUGACUGUUUACUCAUACAUAUAUAAUAUUAGACUUUUAAUGUCAUAUAUAGUAUAGGGUGUAUUUUACACUUUUAAAAUACUAGGUGGUUUAAAUUAGUCUUUUAAUUAACCAAAAUCAUUAUGGAUUUAUUAAAUCUCUUUUAAUUAUACACUUAAUUAAUUUAAUAAAACCAUAAGGGUUUAAUUUGAACUUUUCAAAAUCAGGGUUUUGGAUUUUAGACUUUCAAAAUUAACUUUUAAUCAACAAUUUAAAUUCCAAAACUUGAGGGCAAGUUUUGAAACUCUUCAAAACAAUUAGGUUUUAAUCUCACUUAAAAUUUUGAAUUUGAGACAUUUAAAUUAAAAUUUUAAAUAUUAAAACUGUUGAUUUAAUAAUUACCAUAAAUUAAACAAUUAAUUUAAAUUAUUAAAUCACAAGGGAUUAUCUAGAUCAUGAGGAUAAUUACCAAUUAUACAUCUAAGAUAUCCAAAUCCCUUGAAUCCCUCUCUAAAUCUCGAAAAUAAGGGAUGGGAUAAUUCAAGAUCUUUAAUUACCAUAUUUAACAAUUAAAAGAUAAUUACAAGAUAUGGGAUUAUCCAAAUCCCUAAAAUUUAGGAUCUAACCUUGGGGAAGGAGGUAAUUUCGAAAUCCAAGGGUUGGAAAACCCUAGAUUUCAAAAUCUUGGAGGCUAAGGAAAGGAUUUGGGAAACCCUAGCAAAAAUCGCCAUCUAGGGUUUAGCAACCCUAAUUGCGAAAAAUACCUAGCCUUUAGGGUUCAUUAGCCAUAAACCCUAAUAUGUCAAGUUCAUAAAUUUGAAUAAAAGCUAAUUGAAAACAAAAACCAAUGGCUCUGAUACCACUGAUGGGUUUAAUACAAACAAUCCUAUGUGUGCAUGCAACCCUAGUAUUGGAUCUAUGUUUUCACUAUUAGUUAUACAGCUUUAUGAACACAAAAAGAAACCUGGCAUGCUACUAUAAUUUUCGAAAUUCAUAUAUAAAGCUAGAAUACAUACCUUUUGUUGUUAUAUAGCAAUAACAACUAGUUCCUUGAAUUUCCUUAGCUCUUGAAAGCAAGUACCACAAGUGUAGUACCUCUAAUGGAGUCACAAACACCAUAUGCAACUUGGAUGAAGAGGAGAAGAAAAGGAGGCACCAAAAACGGCUGGAAACCCUAAUGGAAGUCUUGUUCACGUUUUUGGGGCAUAGGGGCCCUUUAUAUACAUGUAGGCUAUUAGGGUUUACAACUAGGAAACCCUAAUUUGACUGCUUAGGCCCUAAGCAGCCCAUGGACUCCUUAAACAUAUCCCUUGGACGAUUUCUAAUGGGCUUCCCAUAGAAUUCGUCCAACCUAUAUAUUAUUAGGUGAUCCAUAGCCCAAUUAUAAUUAUCUUAUAAUUACAACUUCAGUCCCCUAAGUUUAAUUAAUCUCUUUUAGCCACAAAAUUAAUUAACAAUUAAUUCUUGACUAAUAUUAAUUAAACAAUAUGAUUUCUCCUUUAAUAUAUUAUUCUCAUAAUAUAUUAAUAAAUCAUAUUUAAACCUUUCUCUCCUUAAAUCAUCCUACAUAUUGCUAUGGUGAAGGCAACCCAAAAGGACCAUGCUCAUAAUCGGGUCAAGUACAUACCAAAAUAGUUAUGGACUUAGACACUAAUCCAACAGUCUCCCACUUGGAUAAGUCUAAUAACUAUUUUCCGUAUGACUUCAGAACCUGAUCAGCAAUCGUAGCUUUCAAAAGCCGCUGUCAACUCUGAUCUUAUCAGAUAGCGUGUCCUCUAGAUAAGGGAUUAUAUAUUCCUCCAUUCUCAAGAUAUCGUAUAGACAAAAGACAUGAAUUUCAAUCAUUCUCUCUAUACUGUUUCCCGACUUCCGAUUUAUGACGACUGAUAACAGACUACAAUUGAACACAUCAACUUAGUCCCGGCUUGGCCAAGCGCUUAGGUGUCAUCACUAAAUCAUCGAGAGGCCCACAGAUAUCGCUUUUAUCCCACUUUGGGUAAAAGGAAUGGAUAAACUUCGACUCAAAUGCUCGCUUGCAUUUACUGAUCGAAUCACACACAACAAUAAGUUUUAUAACACCAAGUUACUGGUGCGUUUACUUAUUAUCAAUGUGCAACCGACCAACAAAUAACAACUCACACGUCUCGGUUUCAAGAAUAUACAAUAUUAUCGUCUCACUAAUCACUCGUGAUAAAACCAUGAAGUGAUCCAAGUGAGCGUGGGUUUAAUCCAAUACUCUAAUCUUAUCAAAGCACUCAUGAACUCUGCAGCAAACUUGUGCUAUGUCUAAACACUUCAGACAAUCUACAGACAGAUUCAUGACAGUCUUUAUUCAUACCUACUCCCAACGUAUGACCGACUGUGGAUGUUUGAAUAACCUAGUUAUUCUGGAAGUCAAAACAUGCAAAUUGAAACAUAACAAUAAUACUUAAUCCUAUAUGGCCUCAAACUUGUGAGAGUAAAUAAAACACUUCUAUUUAACCACCAUAUUGAUUACUCAUUAUUAUCGUUUACUGUUUCAGAAAAUCAACUUAUUACUCAAAUUACAACAAUAGCUGUCCCAUGCAUAAAGCAUGCACACUAUGUUUCCUAUGGUCCUUACUUUGUGAAAUAGAUCAAUUGAAAAACCUUUUCAAUGAUGCUCAUUUCACAAUUCCCAAUCCUUAUCAUUAGUGUAAGAACACAAGGUUCUUUGCUACUAUUAGAAUAUGCUAGAUUCUAACAUCUUAUGCAACGAUCCUUUCAUAAAGUCAUAGCACAAAAGUCACCAAGACUUGGCUAAUGAAAUUACAAAGUACUCUCUCAGAAAUUGUUACAAGACAAUUCCAUAGACGUGAAGUCUCACAUUCAAAGUACAUUCCUUUGAACAUCCUUCUUGCAUAAAAGUUUCUAAUCUAGACAUAGAUUCUCAAUAUCCAACUCCCAAUAUGGAAACAUUUCCACAUUUGCCAUAUGACAACUCAUUCUUAAUAGAAUCUUAUCUAUUCAUAAUAAUGUCGAUAUGGUCCAUCCAAUACCAUACUUCCAACUACUCACAAGCGACCAAUCCUCAGCGAACUUUGGAUCGUCCUUUGAUAGUUGUUUAAUUAUUUUAGUCAAAACCAAUUCUAGUCCUUUUUCCCUCUUAAUGCGCUAGACAUUUGGAAAAUUUUAGAAUGGUAAAAUAUUAUAGCAUUUGCAAUCGAUCCUAUACCCGAAGCGUAUGGGACACGAUGCAUAAUGUCUUACAUAAAGAUAUGAUACUUUACCAAUCUUUUGCCAUAAUAUUUUAUGUGUCAUGUUCUCACAAUUCGAACUAUGAAGAGGGAUGCCGUAAUCAUAAUCGAAUUUUAAGAACACACAAUGUAUCCUUUGACUGAAAAUAUUAAAAUUUCUCAAUCUAAGCUUUAGAUUUUGAAACGAAGUAUAAUAUUCUCUCCCUUAAUUAUAUUAAAACAACUUUUCAACCCAUGCAACUUUGCAAAUUGAAUCUUUGUUUUUCUAUAAUUAAUAUUGCUAACUUGCAAUACUCGCCAUAAUAAUCAUACAAGCAUAACACUUAUGCUCCCACUAUCAUGAUGAUUAUUAUCAUAUAAGCAUAACACUUAUGCUCCCACUAGCUUUGACAUGUAUUCAGAAAACAAAUGAACUUUCAGAAAACAAUGCCUAUUGAAUUUCUGAAAUUCAUAUUUCUAAUACCAGAUGCUUCGAUAAGCCUUUAUCUAGGCUUCUUAACCUUAUACACCUUUGUCUUAGAUAGCUCAUAUGUGUGUUUAAACAAUUCAGAACUUAUGUUACUAAGUUCCAAAUGUUGAAACUAAUUGCCAAAUCUCAUAAUUCGAACUAUGGAAAGGGAUGCCGUAACCAUAAUCGAAUUUGAGAAUACAAUUUUCACAAUUGCUAUCUUCUUAAAAUCUCUCUUAGUGAAAGCAUUUCCUCACAGUCAUUUUCAUGAAGGAGGGAAUCUUAUGACACUUAGAUUUUAUGGUGUAUGAGUUCCUAUCCAUGUGAAUUUGCCAAAACCAAGGUUUGCGACAAAUCCAAACUCAUAUGGACUGAACUUUCUUAAUCUUGAUUUCUUGCCUUAUGGUAACACGAGUGCCCACCAUGUCUUCCAAGUAGUUUAGUAACUUGUCCUUACAUAUCAAUGUACUUUCCAUCGACUAAGGCUCUAGUAUGCAUUCAAAUGAGAACUCAUAGAACUCACAUACGCAAUUAACUCAAUUGGAAUGGCACAAAAACAAAAUAAUGUCAGCACGAUAGGUUGCAAACCUCAAGUCGUGUGCUAGUGAUGAUCGAUAAGGUAUAUUCUUGAUUUGUUCUUGAAACCUUUCAAGACCAUUAAGACUCCCACUGACUCCUUGACAUAUAAGAUUCUCUUGUCAAGAAACAUUUCUUGACAAAGCAAAUAUUCAAGAGUUAGUGUAGUUCUUAUCAAGACAAAACACUUCACAAAUUGGUCCUAGUUGGUCUUUGUCUUAUCCAAGACAUCACAACUUACCAAUUUCUAAUGUGCAAGAAUAAGAAAACUUUUCCAAAUUCCACAUUUGAUGAGUGUUAUAAACCUACUUAAGACUUGUCACUCAAUGUCACAAUCUUGGAGUAUGACUCUAAGACUUGAUAUUGGAACGAAGUAUGAUUGACUCUUUGAUUUAACCAUUUCUACAAUUCUCGAUUCCUCUUCUUAGACAUGCAAAUGCACUAAGACUCACUUAGAGGAUCAAUUGAGAUAUGGUUCUUAAUCAUUAAGACUUCAUCAUAAAACACAAUAAAAGGUACUCUCCCUUCUUCUUAGAAUGGAGAAACUUUUAUCUUUCUGCCUUCUUGAUUCUUCUUAUUCGUUCUGCUAUUGAUUGAAACUAUUUCAGUUAACUCAGAAUUAUACUCAAUCUUAUAAGUAUAACCAUAUUUACUAAACUUUAGUAAAUCAUGACGAAUAUCUUUGUCACUCUUGUGGUAGACUUGAUCAACGUACGACCUAGUGUACUCGAUCUCCUAGUCCUUCAAUUGACACUUUGUCAAAGAAUUAGUCUAAAUUUCCCAAAUGUGAAAGUUUUUCAUUCAUCAUACAAUACACAUUGCAUGAUUCCAAGUUUCUGUCCAAUUGAAACUUGGGCGAUGAGAAACUCUCCCUAUUUGGUAAACUUUUGACAUUUCCACAAAUAACAUAAUUAAGAAUCAAAUCCAUUAUUGCUAAUAAUAGAAACAUUCAAACAUCAAUUUUUCAUACAUGCCAUUGCAAGGAUAAAUAAAUAAGAUAAAAUCAAAAUUCAUUUUAUUGCGGAAAAAAUUUGUCCUUACAAUGCAAUUCAAUUGAAAAACUAUGUUAUUACAUAUUUCUUAACAAUCUAUUCUAACUCCAAGUAGUAGCUCAAGAAUCCAUUCUUCAAGUAAUGCGAUCGAAAUCCAUUUCUUCAUGAUUAGAUUCAGCUCACUUCUUCCCUCAAGCUUCCUCUCUUUUCUUCGAUCCUACAAAACAUCAAAAUGUAAUCUUAUCACAUCAUGUAUUAAGAAUCUAGAAUAGGAACUCAAAAGAGUUAGAUAAUGGAUUUUACCUGAAGUAGAGCCAUACGUCUUGACUCUCCCAUCUCUUAGAUCUCUCAGGUAGUUAGGGCAACUUCGUCUCCAAUGCCCCUUCUCUUGGCAAUAAAAGCAAAUGGACUCCUUUGGCACAGCACAUCGGACAAUCACAGACUUAGUUCUUUCUGGACUUCCAAUGUUGCCAGUGUCCAUUGAAGUUUGGGAGUUUGAUUCACCAGACAAAUUUGCUUGACCAGCACGCCAAAUCAUUGCUGAUUCAGCAGCUAUAAGCAAAUAGGUGAGAUCAAUUAGGGUCACGUCGUGGUCCAUCAUAUAGUACUCUCUAACGAACUCACUAUAUGAUUCAGGAAGUGACUGAAGAACCCAGUCAACAGCCAACUCACUUGAAAUCUCGACACCCAACAUGCUUAACCUAUCAAUGUGUGACUUCAUCUCUAAGACGUGUGCACACACAGGUUUCCCAUCUUCGUGUUUACUUGCCAAAAGGGCUUGAGUGAGCUUGAACUUUUCAAGCCUUUGAACUUGUGGGUCAGGGAGAACAAUUGGAGGAGGUGGAGGAAGUGAAGCAUGACUCUCAUUUCCUUGAUCGUAUCUCGGAACGUCAUCUUCAUUUGGAAAGCUUGUUCCAAAGGAUUUGGGAAGACCAUUGUAAGAUUCAGACAUCUACAAAACGGGAGAAAAUUCAAGUUAUGUUGAUUAGAAUUCUUGAUGUAACACCCAAAUGAAACAUCAAGCUAGGAUCCAACACAAUACUCUACAACCUAGAAGAGGGAUGCCGUAAUCUAGUUGCAGAAUAUUUGAAGGUAGGUAAAUGACGAUUUACCAAUUUCCACCAUGAAAAACGAAAAGGAAGAUUAAGUUUUAAAUGAAUUGAAACUCCUAGAUCUUUUGAGAUUCAUUGAACUUUUCAAUGGCAUGUUUAAUCUCGAUUAUGCCCUACUAUUUGUGACUGGGAUGCCGAGGAUCACAAACAAGGUGUGAAUAACCAUACGAAUCACGUGGUGCACCCAAUGCUACAAUCACCUAAUCAAUGUGCCGGUUAGCCACACACGCUCCAUU
Molecule: long non-coding RNA, 7806 nt
Filed under: Lactuca sativa (garden lettuce)
Lineage: Eukaryota; Viridiplantae; Streptophyta; Magnoliopsida; Asterales; Asteraceae
Description: long non-coding RNA (LSAT_LNC007675)
Source: RNAcentral